This 356-nucleotide unclassified non-coding RNA is filed under the name soil metagenome. Its description in RNAcentral is "partial contains 5.8S ribosomal RNA, internal transcribed spacer 2, and large subunit ribosomal RNA". The stretch from base 1 to 118 matches the Rfam family "5.8S ribosomal RNA", at positions 35 to 154 of the family's 154-position model. The record is from RNAcentral.
GAUGAAGAACGUAGCGAAACGCGAUAAGUAAUGUGAAUUGCAGAAUUUAGUGAAUCAUCGAACUUUUGAACGCACAUUGCGCCCGGCGGCACUCCGCCGGGCAUGCCUGUGAGCGUCAUUAUACUGCCCUCGACUCUCCGAGUCGGUGUUGGGAGCCUCUGCGCCCGUACGCAGCUCCCCAAGUCCACUGGCGUCGCGCCACGGUGCCCCUGCGUAGUAAUCUCACCUCGCUUGGGACCCUGGGUGCCGGCUGCCCUUCUCUCUCGCAGCAGGCUCUCUCGAGCCGGCUCUAGCACAGUUGACCUCGGAUCAGGUAGGGUUACCCGCUGAACUUAAGCAUAUCAAUAAGCGGAGGA